UACGGAGGGUGCGAGCGUUAAUCGGAAUAACUGGGCGUAAAGGGCACGCAGGCGGGCUUUUAAGUGAGAUGUGAAAUCCCCAGGCUUAACCUGGGAAUAGCAUUUCAGACUGGGAGCCUAGAGUACUUUAGGGAGGGGUAGAAUUCCACGCGUAGCGGUGAAAUGCGUAGAGAUGUGGAGGAAUACCGAAGGCGAAGGCAGCCCCUUGGGAAUGUACUGACGCUCAUGUGCGGAAGCGUGGGGAUCAAACAGG
Molecule: ribosomal RNA, 253 nt
Filed under: uncultured bacterium
Lineage: Bacteria
Description: partial 16S ribosomal RNA
Rfam family: Bacterial small subunit ribosomal RNA
Source: RNAcentral